ACCAGAGGGUAAGCGGUGAGUUCCAGCGGUUACCCGUGAGCCCGUUUCAGUAACGAGGGCAGAAAACCAUCAGGUGAGGAGGAGAGGAACGCGGCAGAGAGGUCGUUUAGCAACCCGGGAGGGCAGCGGGACCGUGCGCCCGUGUCAGCGGGUCGCAGGGACGGAGCCGGGCCGGCGCUUCGGCCGCCCCGACGGGCUCCGCUCAGGGCAACCGCUCCCGUCCCGUCCGGGUCCGGGCUGGCAGUACCCGCGGAGACAGCGCCCGAGGAGACGGGCGAAGGCUGAGGAGCUUUAGGAUGAAGGAAACCCGACACCUCCGACAACACCCGCGCAGAAGUUUGGAGGGAAGGUUGGCGGGGCGCGGACCGAAAGGAGGGGAGAGGCGCGCAACAAUGGGAAACACCGAAGGGCCGGGAGGAAGGAGCGGUGCGGAGGUAGAAGAAGCGAGGUGGGGGAAGGGGACGUCCGCGCGGGGAGAAAGAGGAGCGGGGACGGCCGGCAGACAAAGGGCGCGGGAUGCGGGUCCUUACCUGCAGGCUUCUGUGUGCAAAUGCCCGACAAACAUCACCAAGUGAGGAAUGCAUCAAACUGCAGAAUUUCUAAAAGAGAAAAGGAUGGGAAAAAGGCGAGUAACUUCAAGCAUCAACAGACGUGAGGCAAAGCUCAUUGUAAUAACAGCUGGAGGCAUCCUGGUCCUUACUUUUGUCAGUUUGAGAUUAACAGAGCAUUUCACACUUGGGUUGAAGGCAGCACAGGGGAGCUCCAAAGCAAUCCUAAACUGAGCCAAGAUAAAGCUUCCUGAAGAGCAUCAAGGUAGAACUGCUCCACCUCCGUUCCCAGAGGUGCCAAAUGUUUCUUCCAGCUCCAGUGAUUAAUGCGUAUUACUUCGUAAGAAGAAUUUGCAACUUCUCGGAAUGCCAACCAGAAAGCAAAAACAAUGGCGUCUUCUUCUCCGCUCCCCCCAGCAAAAGAAAAUAAAAACGCAAAAGAAAUACAUCAAAUGCACAGUGAGAGAAUUAGAAAGAGUUAUACGAGCCUUCAUGUGGUUCAUCUGUUUACAGAGGUCAAUUAAAUUGUAGGUAUUUUCCAUCGCACCACGUAAAAAUAAUUUUCAAGCAUUUGGGAAACGGGGUG
Long non-coding RNA from Gallus gallus (chicken), 1134 nucleotides. RefSeq lists it as uncharacterized. The record is from RefSeq and is a predicted model, not a curated record. NCBI's taxonomy places the organism in Eukaryota, Metazoa, Chordata, Aves, Galliformes, Phasianidae. The transcript has 3 exons.